AGAAAGAAGAAGAAGAAGAAGAAGAAGAAGACGAAGAAGAAGAAGAAGAAGAAGAAAAAGAAUAGAAGGAGAAAAGAGGAGGGGGAGUAGGAGGAGAAAAAAGAAGAAGAAGAAGAAGAAGAAGAAAAAGAGGAGAGAGGAGAAGAAGAAAGAAGAGGAAAAGGGAACCCCCGGCACCCCGAAACUGACCCUCGACCCC
Molecule: long non-coding RNA, 199 nt
Filed under: Hordeum vulgare
Lineage: Eukaryota; Viridiplantae; Streptophyta; Magnoliopsida; Poales; Poaceae
Description: long non-coding RNA (HVUL_LNC021298)
Source: RNAcentral